ACACCCCACCGGCAUCAUGAAACACGAAAUGGGAGCUAGGUCCGAAAAACCAGGCGUGAUAGGCCAUCCACUCCUUCAUCCUUGACGCACUCACAUUCCCAUACAAGGACGAACCACAAUACAAGUACUCGUAGGGAUAUGGCGGGCUGAACUUGGACUCGUCGUAAGACCCCGGUGCUUCCUCCAAUACUGUGAUUUUCUCAUAUCUUUUAGGUGACUCCCCGUAGUAAGCGUAGAGAAUGAGCUUCCCUCCCUUAUUAUCAGCGUUAGGAUUCACGGUAAAUGUGCAGUUUACAACCACCACAGUGUAGACACGGCCAUAGCCCCAGUCGGGGAGGAUCUUAAUAGCUUUGGCCUUCUUAGAAGCAGAGAAGGAGGCAUUGCCAUUGCUGUUGGGGAUCCACUCGCAUUUAUACCAAGGGCGGCCAAAGACGUGAAGGGGCUUGGAAGCAAGACCGACGACGGCGAAAGUGGUAGGACCGCCGCGAUAGGCGCCCAUCUGGACGAAGAGAGAAGCGGCAUUGCCGUAGGCAAGGAAGGUUCGUUUGUUAGGGUCG
This 557-nucleotide long non-coding RNA is filed under the name Nicotiana tabacum (common tobacco). RNAcentral describes it as "long non-coding RNA (NTAB_LNC007683)". Lineage: Eukaryota; Viridiplantae; Streptophyta; Magnoliopsida; Solanales; Solanaceae. The record is from RNAcentral.